AACAGCAGACCUGAGAAGCGCCUUAGUCAUCCAUCAACUUUCUUAAAGAUCGUGACCUAAACGUCUGCUUUAAAGAUGAAGAAACUGCAUAGAAACAACAACAAAAAGCUGGUUACUGGGUUCCAGUGUGGGUGGAUUAAUCAGCAUGACCCACUGACGGCAAAAUAUGCUUUCAGAAUGCGCUCUUCGUGAUAAAUGGAAGGCUUGAAAAUAUAAACAGACUGUCUUGCACAAGGAACCCUCUGAAGCAGAGGGCCCUGUUUAAAUGAAAACCAGCAUUUCAAAUGGAAAGCAAGACGAAAUCACAACACAGGGAUCAUGUUCCCUCUAGCGUGGACUUUAGCCAGAGUUGGUUCACCUGCACGUGGUCAUUACAGACCAUCAGCAUCAGGAAAAAUAGUCUUCUAGAGACGUUAACAGAUGUGCUGCUGAUAAAGACUUCCCCUAAGCAACGUAUGCAUUGUUACUCUUUCUUGGAAAUUCACUGGUCCGUUGUGGGAAAGAGGCUAUAGACUACCAACAGCAGAAGCCCUUCCCAGGAAGGAGCUGACAUGUAACAGCCGAUGGCCUCCUCAUCCAGUUGGUCUUUUCCUUGAUCUCUGUGAACAGCUUUGGCCUCUAAACUUCAGGCUCAACUCCCUGGAAGCCAAGGGAUCCUGUCCUUCUCUCUUGUGAGCUUAUUGUGUGAUGAUAUGUCAACAUGUUCUGCUAGUAAAGUC
Non-coding RNA from Cricetulus griseus (Chinese hamster), 719 nucleotides. The record is from RefSeq and is a predicted model, not a curated record. Lineage: Eukaryota; Metazoa; Chordata; Mammalia; Rodentia; Cricetidae.